This is a long non-coding RNA of Gymnogyps californianus (California condor), 487 nucleotides long. RefSeq lists it as uncharacterized. The record is from RefSeq and is a predicted model, not a curated record. The transcript has 4 exons. NCBI's taxonomy places the organism in Eukaryota, Metazoa, Chordata, Aves, Accipitriformes, Cathartidae.
GUUUCUCUAGGGCUCGGCUCUCGGUUCCCCUGGCUGUGAGAAGCAGGCGUGCUGCUGGCCUGGCUCCCGGCGACUCCAGGUGUAUGACUGCAGUGUUCCUGCCCGGACAGCGCCCUGCUUGUGCGUUAGGCUGGAUGCUCAGCAGGAAGCCAGCCCAGUGCUGUGUGUGUAUCGGUCAUCGCUGCAGACUCGGAGCCAGAUCACCAGCUGCAAUACCUGGAAAGAGAAAAGCUGUUUCUCCUCAAGGUGAACCUCCAGAGCAGAGCACAGCUGUAUAGUCUGAGAAGAGGCACGAGGAGGGACAGGAGAGUAUCAUUCAGCCUGGCAACAGCGUUUUUUCCUGCUUGAUUCUUCCUUUGAUUCUGGGAAACGUCAGUUGGCGCUCUCAUUCACCCACAAACAGGGCACCAUAAUGACAGAGUAAGGACUUAAAUACUCUGCUAAUAUUGUCAAGGUUUUAAGACUAAAGACAACAAAUAAUACUGUA